GAGAGAGAGAGAGAGAGAGAGAGAGACGGUUCCAAGCCCCACAAGCAGAGGAUGCAACUUUCUGCCUUUAAGUGAUAAAUCUAAGACCUCCGGAAGAGUCUUGGAAUAGAAAUAAUUAGCCAAACGUACUCCGCGCCUGCUUUUAAAUGAUGCACUUCAAGGGUGAGAGUGCUUGCUUGAGUCAGAGCGCAGAGGAAGUGGAUUUUCGUUCAAGGGGCGCUGGGAGGUCACAGGCAUCUGGGCCACUCGAUAGCCAAUCUGGAGCAACUAAUAAGACAGUCAGUUGA
Long non-coding RNA from Hippocampus comes (tiger tail seahorse), 287 nucleotides. RefSeq lists it as uncharacterized. The record is from RefSeq and is a predicted model, not a curated record. NCBI's taxonomy places the organism in Eukaryota, Metazoa, Chordata, Actinopteri, Syngnathiformes, Syngnathidae. The transcript has 3 exons.